RNAcentral lists this ribosomal RNA (841 nucleotides) under uncultured bacterium. RNAcentral's name for it is "bacterial SSU rRNA". It matches the Rfam family "Bacterial small subunit ribosomal RNA", at positions 57 to 890 of the family's 1533-position model. The record is from RNAcentral.
GCAAGUCGAGGGGCAGCGGGAUUGAAGCUUGCUUCAAUUGCCGGCGACCGGCGCACGGGUGAGUAACGCGUAUCCAACCUUCCGUACACUCAGGGAUAGCCUUUCGAAAGAAAGAUUAAUACCUGAUGGUAUGAUGAGAUUGCAUGAUAGCAUCAUUAAAGAUUCAUCGGUGUACGAUGGGGAUGCGUUCCAUUAGGUAGUAGGCGGGGUAACGGCCCACCUAGCCUACGAUGGAUAGGGGUUCUGAGAGGAAGGUCCCCCACAUUGGAACUGAGACACGGUCCAAACUCCUACGGGAGGCAGCAGUGAGGAAUAUUGGUCAAUGGACGAGAGUCUGAACCAGCCAAGUAGCGUGAAGGAUGAAGGUCCUACGGAUUGUAAACUUCUUUUAUAAGGGAAUAAAACCUCCCACGUGUGGGAGCUUGUAUGUACCUUAUGAAUAAGCAUCGGCUAACUCCGUGCCAGCAGCCGCGGUAAUACGGAGGAUGCGAGCGUUAUCCGGAUUUAUUGGGUCUAAAGGGAGCGCAGACGGGUCGUUAAGUCAGCUGUGAAAGUUUGGGGCUCAACCUUAAAAUUGCAGUUGAUACUGGCGUCCUUGAGUGCGGUUGAGGUGUGCGGAAUUCGUGGUGUAGCGGUGAAAUGCUUAGAUAUCACGAAGAACUCCGAUUGCGAAGGCAGCACACUAAGCCGUAACUGACGUUCAUGCUCGAAAGUGUGGGUAUCAAACAGGAUUAGAUACCCUGGUAGUCCACACGGUAAACGAUGGAUACUCGCUGUUGGCGAUAUACUGUCAGCGGCUUAGCGAAAGUGUUAAGUAUCCCACCUGGGGAGUACGCCGGCA